RNAcentral lists this ribosomal RNA (499 nucleotides) under uncultured Oceanospirillales bacterium. Its description in RNAcentral is "bacterial SSU rRNA". It matches the Rfam family "Bacterial small subunit ribosomal RNA", at positions 29 to 524 of the family's 1533-position model. The record is from RNAcentral. Lineage: Bacteria; Pseudomonadati; Pseudomonadota; Gammaproteobacteria; Oceanospirillales.
AUUGAACGCUGGCGGCAGGCCUAACACAUGCAAGUCGGGCGGUAACAGGGGAGCUUGCUCCCGCUGACGAGCGGCGGACGGGUGAGUAAAGUCUAGGAAUCUGCCCAGUAGAGGGGGACAACGCGGGGAAACUCGCGCUAAUACCGCAUACGUCCUACGGGAGAAAGGUGCUUUCGGGUGCCGCUACUGGAUGAGCCUAGAUCGGAUUAGCUAGUUGGUGGGGUAAAGGCCUACCAAGGCGACGAUCCGUAGCUGGUCUGAGAGGAUGAUCAGCCACACUGGGACUGAGACACGGCCCAGACUCCUACGGGAGGCAGCAGUGGGGAACAUUGGACAAUGGGCGCAAGCCUGAUCCAGCCAUGCCGCGUGUGUGAAGAAGGUCUUCGGAUUGUAAAGCACUUUAAGCGAGGAGGAGAGGCCCUAGGUUAAUACCCCUAGGUGCGUUGGACGUUCUCGCAGAAUAAGCACCGGCUAACUCUGUGCCAGCCGCCGCCGUAAC